This 259-nucleotide ribosomal RNA is filed under the name Ralstonia pickettii. RNAcentral's name for it is "partial 16S ribosomal RNA". It matches the Rfam family "Bacterial small subunit ribosomal RNA", at positions 521 to 779 of the family's 1533-position model. Lineage: Bacteria; Pseudomonadati; Pseudomonadota; Betaproteobacteria; Burkholderiales; Burkholderiaceae. The record is from RNAcentral.
UAAUACGUAGGGUCCAAGCGUUAAUCGGAAUUACUGGGCGUAAAGCGUGCGCAGGCGGUUGUGCAAGACCGAUGUGAAAUCCCCGAGCUUAACUUGGGAAUUGCAUUGGUGACUGCACGGCUAGAGUGUGUCAGAGGGGGGUAGAAUUCCACGUGUAGCAGUGAAAUGCGUAGAGAUGUGGAGGAAUACCGAUGGCGAAGGCAGCCCCCUGGGAUAACACUGACGCUCAUGCACGAAAGCGUGGGGAGCAAACAGGAUU